This 465-nucleotide ribosomal RNA is filed under the name uncultured bacterium. RNAcentral's name for it is "partial 16S ribosomal RNA". It matches the Rfam family "Bacterial small subunit ribosomal RNA", at positions 339 to 795 of the family's 1533-position model. The record is from RNAcentral.
CUACGGGUGGCACCAGUGGGGAAUAUUGGACAAUGGGGGAAACCCUGAUCCAGCAAUGCCGCGUGUGUGAAGAAGGCCUGCGGGUUGUAAAGCACUUUCGGUUGGGAGGACUGCUUCUAGCACUAAUAUUGUUGGAAGUUGACGUUACCUUCAGCAGAAGCACCGGCUAACUCCGUGCCAGCAGCCGCGGUAAUACGGAGGGUGCAAGCGUGAAUCGGAAUUACUGGGCGUAAAGCGCGCGUAGGCGGCUAGAUCAGUCGGGUGUGAAAGCCCCGGGCUUAACCUGGGAACUGCGUCCGAUACUGUCUAGCUUGAGUACAGGAGAGGAGAGUGGAAUUCCACGUGUAGCGGUGAAAUGCGUAGAUAUGUGGAGGAACACCAAUGGCGAAGGCAGCUCUCUGGCCUGAUACUGACGCUGAGGUGCGAAAGCGUGGGGAGCAAACAGGAUUAGAUACCCUAGUAGUC